GUUUUUGUAGCUUAUAUAUAAAGCAAAAGGAUUUUUAAUCUUUCGUUGCAGUAAUUGUC
This 59-nucleotide transfer RNA is filed under the name Ruditapes philippinarum (Manila clam). RNAcentral's name for it is "partial tRNA-Lys". The record is from RNAcentral. Lineage: Eukaryota; Metazoa; Mollusca; Bivalvia; Venerida; Veneridae.